GGGAAGAGCCCAAACCAAAAAGCUUGCUUGUUGGGGUUGUAGGACACUCUAUACGGAGUUACAAAGGACGACAUUAGACGAAUCAUCUGGAAAGAUGAAUCAAAGAAGGUAAUAAUCCUGUAGUCGAAAAUGUUGUCUCUCUUGAGUGGAUCCUGAGUACGACGGAGCACGUGAAAUUCCGUCGGAAUCUGGGAGGACCAUCUCCUAAGGCUAAAUACUCUCUAGUGACCGAUAGUGAACCAGUACCGUGAGGGAAAGGUGAAAAGCACCCCGGAAGGGGAGUGAAAUAGAACCUGAAACCGUGUGCUUACAAGUAGUCAGAGCCCGUUAAUGGGUGAUGGCGUGCCUUUUGUAGAAUGAACCGGCGAGUUACGAUUUGAUGCAAGGUUAAGCAGUAAAUGUGGAGCCGUAGCGAAAGCGAGUCUGAAUAGGGCGUUUAGUAUUUGGUCGUAGACCCGAAACCAGGUGAUCUACCCUUGGUCAGGUUGAAGUUCAGGUAACACUGAAUGGAGGACCGAACCGACUUACGUUGAAAAGUGAGCGGAUGAACUGAGGGUAGCGGAGAAAUUCCAAUCGAACCUGGAGAUAGCUGGUUCUCUCCGAAAUAGCUUUAGGGCUAGCCUCAAGUGAUGAUUAUUGGAGGUAGAGCACUGUUUGGACGAGGGGCCCCUCUCGGGUUACCGAAUUCAGACAAACUCCGAAUGCCAAUUAAUUUAACUUGGGAGUCAGAACAUGGGUGAUAAGGUCCGUGUUCGAAAGGGAAACAGCCCAGACCACCAGCUAAGGUCCCAAAAUAUAUGUUAAGUGGAAAAGGAUGUGGCGUUGCCCAGACAACUAGGAUGUUGGCUUAGAAGCAGCCAUCAUUUAAAGAGUGCGUAAUAGCUCACUAGUCGAGUGACACUGCGCCGAAAAUGUACCGGGGCUAAACAUAUUACCGAAGCUGUGGAUUGUCCUUUGGACAAUGGUAGGAGAGCGUUCUAAGGGCGUUGAAGCAUGAUCGUAAGGACAUGUGGAGCGCUUAGAAGUGAGAAUGCCGGUGUGAGU
This 1044-nucleotide ribosomal RNA is filed under the name Staphylococcus aureus. RNAcentral's name for it is "partial 23S ribosomal RNA". It matches the Rfam family "Bacterial large subunit ribosomal RNA", at positions 260 to 1307 of the family's 2925-position model. Lineage: Bacteria; Bacillati; Bacillota; Bacilli; Caryophanales; Staphylococcaceae. The record is from RNAcentral.